This 498-nucleotide ribosomal RNA is filed under the name uncultured bacterium. RNAcentral's name for it is "partial 16S ribosomal RNA". It matches the Rfam family "Bacterial small subunit ribosomal RNA", at positions 30 to 523 of the family's 1533-position model. The record is from RNAcentral.
AUUGAACGCUGGCGGCAUGCUUUACACAUGCAAGUCGAACGGCAGCGCGGGGCAACCUGGCGGCGAGUGGCGAACGGGUGAGUAAUACAUCGGAGCGUACCCAGAAGUGGGGGAUAACGUAGCGAAAGUUACGCUAAUACCGCAUACGUUCUACGGAAGAAAGUGGGGGAUCUUCGGACCUCAUGCUUUUGGAGCGGCCGAUGUCUGAUUAGCUAGUUGGUGAGGUAAAGGCUCACCAAGGCGACGAUCAGUAGCUGGUCUGAGAGGACGACCAGCCACACUGGGACUGAGACACGGCUCAGACUCCUACGGGAGGCAGCAGUGGGGAAUUUUGGACAAUGGGCGCAAGCCUGAUCCAGCAAUGCCGCGUGAGUGAAGAAGGCCUUCGGGUUGUAAAGCUCUUUUGUCAGGGAAGAAACGGCUGAGGAUAAUACCUUCGGCUAAUGACGGUACCUGAAGAAUAAGCACCGGCUAACUACGUGCCAGCAGCCGCGGUAA